CUACGGGGGGCUGCAGUGGGGAAUAUUGCACAAUGGAGGAAACUCUGAUGCAGCAACGCCGCGUGGAGGAUGACACAUUUCGGUGCGUAAACUCCUUUUAUAUGAGAAGAUAAUGACGGUAUCAUAUGAAUAAGCACCGGCUAACUCCGUGCCAGCAGCCGCGGUAAUACGGGGGGUGCAAGCGUUACUCGGAAUCACUGGGCGUAAAGAGCAUGUAGGCGGAUAGAAAAGUUGGAAGUGAAAUCCUGUGGCUUAACCAUAGAACUGCUUCCAAAACUCUCUAUCUAGAAUAUGGGAGAGGUAGAUGGAAUUUCUGGUGUAGGGGUAAAAUCCGUAGAGAUCAGAAGGAAUACUGAUUGCGAAGGCGAUCUACUGGAACAUUAUUGACGCUGAGAUGCGAAAGCGUGGGGAGCAAACAGGAUUAGAUACCCCCGUAGUC
This 439-nucleotide ribosomal RNA is filed under the name uncultured bacterium. RNAcentral describes it as "partial 16S ribosomal RNA". It matches the Rfam family "Bacterial small subunit ribosomal RNA", at positions 339 to 795 of the family's 1533-position model. The record is from RNAcentral.